RNAcentral lists this unclassified non-coding RNA (223 nucleotides) under plant metagenome. RNAcentral's name for it is "partial contains small subunit ribosomal RNA, internal transcribed spacer 1, and 5.8S ribosomal RNA". The record is from RNAcentral.
UCUCCGUUGGUGAACCAGCGGAGGGACCAUUAUCGAUUGUUAAAACUAACCAAACCCUGUGAACAUACCUUCUGUUGCUUCGGCGGGAUCACCCCGGGCGCCCUCGUGUGCCCCGGAUCCAGGCGCCCGCCGGAGGACCUAAACUCUUGUCUUCAUGAGAUUAUCUGAGUGGCUUUAUAGCAAAAAUGAAUCAAAACUUUCAACAACGGAUCUCUUGGUUCUG